GAUGAACGCUGGCGGCGUGCCUAAUACAUGCAAGUCGAGCGGUAAGGCCCUUCGGGGUACACGAGCGGCGGACGGCUGAGUAACACGUAGGAACGUACCCCAAACUGAGGGAUAAGCACCAGAAAUGGUGUCUAAUACCGCAUGUGCUCUAAGGAGUAAAGCUUCGGCGGUUUGGGAACGGCCUGCGUCCGAUUAGCUUGAUGGUGAGGUAAUGGCUCACCAUGGCGACGAUCGGUAGCUGGUCUGAGAGGAUGACCAGCCAGACUGGAACUGAGAACGGUCCAGACUCCUACGGGAGGCAGCAGUAGGGAAUUUUCCACAAUGGGGGCAACCCUGAUGGAGCAACGCCGCGUGCAGGAUGAAGGCUCUUGGGUCGUAAACUGCUUUUAUCUGUGACGAAUAUGACGGUAGCAGAUGAAUAAGGAUCGGCUAACUCCGUGCCAGCAGCCGCAGUAAUAC
Molecule: ribosomal RNA, 459 nt
Filed under: uncultured bacterium
Lineage: Bacteria
Description: bacterial SSU rRNA
Rfam family: Bacterial small subunit ribosomal RNA
Source: RNAcentral